UACGGAGGGUGCAAGCGUUGCUCGGAAUUAUUGGGCGUAAAGGGUAGGUAGGUGGUCUUAUUUGUCUGGGGUGAAAGCCUUGGGCUUAACUCAAGAAGUGCCCCAGAAACGGUAAGACUAGAGUCCUAGAGAGGGUCGUGGAAUUCCCGGUGUAGCGGUGAAAUGCGUAGAGAUCGGGAGGAACACCAGAGGCGAAAGCGGCGACCUGGACAGGCACUGACACUCAACUACGAAAGCGUGGGGAGCAAACAGG
This 253-nucleotide ribosomal RNA is filed under the name uncultured bacterium. Its description in RNAcentral is "partial 16S ribosomal RNA". It matches the Rfam family "Bacterial small subunit ribosomal RNA", at positions 524 to 776 of the family's 1533-position model. The record is from RNAcentral.